GCCGCCUACUUUUUAAAUUAGUCAAGAUAAUUGUUUUUGUCAAGAUAAUUAGCAAAUGAAACAGACUCAAGGAAAAUUUAGUUCAGAGAAUUACCGUUUGCCUGGUCCAAAGUCCUCGCCUUCAGGCAUUUCUGCCCUUUAAAAAGUGGCCCAGGCUGUAGCACUUUGUACCACAGCUUAGAGCCCAAAUGACAAUCUCUUCUCUACUCAAACUUCGAAUACCAGGAGGGAAAAACCCCAGUAGCGAAGUUCUUUCUCCUUUUUGGAAAAAAAAACCAACCAAACCGCUCCUCCUUACUCGGAGAGCAGGUGUUUACAAACUUCCAAAGCGCCUGCCCGCCUUGAAUGAAGCUGAGAGCCAGAGUCGCCGCAGGGAGCUUGAAACUUCACCCUGGGCUAUCACGUCUCCUUGGAGUGGCAGGGGGGAGAGGUGGACAGCAGAGAACAAAACAGCAAUGUACUGUAGAUAUGCUUUGGAUCAAACCUUGGAUACAUCAUACCAGAGUCAAGCUGCAAAAGUUCCUGCAUGGCGACACCCCACUGAUCAGCCAAAAAGCAGCUGUUGCCAUGAGUCCCCUGGAGCCCUGGAGCAUAAGUCUACUUGUGAACUGCUAGGAGCUCAAACACCUAUAUAAAUGGACAACUGCAUAAAUAAGCUUACUACUAUUUUUUAUGUUCUUGUCUAAAGUUAGUAUGUCUAGAAUUCUCAUAUAUUUAAUCUCUUUUCCAAAUUCUGCCUGUAAAACACAAUAAUCUAUUCCUUCAAUGGACAUGCUCUUAUGCCACCUCAAUAAAUCAAUCUGCUAGGUUUGUGGACCAUUACCCAUCUCUAGUGUGUCUGGCUUGCCUUGGUGGAUAUCUCCACUACAAGCAAUGGACGCAUCAACUGUUUUAUGGAGAGAAGCCAUGAAGUAGGUAGGUAGCAUGCCAGUCACAGGGGCCAGCAGGACCUCCAAGAGAGAUUUGCAAGAGUUUGGCGAGACCACGUUCGGUACAACAAAACCGAUCUUAUUACACAGAGCACAAAAACACAACUCUGUGACUAUGCAGGGAGCACCUGCCCUCUUUUCACAGAGGCUAAUUCUCUCCUUUCCUUAAACUGUAGCCAAAUCUGCUGCCUCUUCCUCUCCAGGUUUCCUGAGGCUACUCCUGUACUGAAUUCACUGUCACUUCCUGCUCCUGCUUCUACCUGCCAUCACCCCAUCCUUCCUGGUAUGACCCUUAAUGCCUGAGCAAAUGGGUCAUUUGUGUCUUUACACUUGGCUUUGUAUGUUCAAAUGGCCAUGACUUUGAAAUAUCACAAAUUUAAAAAUUAACAACAUACAACGAACUUUUAAUUAGGAAACGUAUUCCACCAGAAAGUUAGGACAUAAAACAUUCCAACACAGAGACCAGCAUCACAAACUAAAGCCAGAACAGGAGACAACUGUUGGAUACUAGUGAGUCUUUUUUUUUUCUCUUUUCAAUUUUUAUUGUGAUAGCUUAUAUACAACAUAAUAUUUCCCCAUGUUAACCACAUUCAACUACACAACUCAGUGGUGUUAAUUCACUCACAAUGCUCAUGCUACCAUCAGUGCCCUCUAUUACCAAAACAUUUCCAUCACCCCAAACGGAAACUCUUAAACCAAUUAACAUGAACUCCCCAUUCCCCACCCUUCCCAGCCUAUGGAUAGCCUGUAUUCGAAUUUCCAGCUCUAUGAAUUUGCAUAUUCUAAUUAUUUCCCAUGAAGUAUGACCACACACUAUUUGUCCUUUCGCGUCUGGCUUAUUUCACUCACCACGACGCCUUUAAAGUUCAUCCUCGUUGUUGCAAGUAUCAGAACUUCAUUCCUGUAUGCGGCUCAAUAAUAUACAACACAUUUCUCUACCCAGUCCCCUGUUGAUGGACACUUAGAUUUCUUCCACCUAUUGGCUACUGUGAAUAAUGCUGCUAUGAAUGUCAGGGUGCUAUUGAGUCUGUGAAGGUCCUCUCUGCUGGCCUCCCUACCACCCACUUCCCUCCACUCCUCCCCUUUCCAGCCCUACUAUUUUCUCACUCUCCUCCCAUAUUUCUAUCACACUUCCUCAUCCCCACCUCUCACCUCCAGUGCCUCAGUAUCUUUCCUCACCAUCUUGAGCAAGUCUGCUGCUUCUACUCCUGCCCUUUUUGCCCUCACCAGUCUGUGCUGCUUUCUUCUCCAGCACCACCCUGCUCUGUCCAAACGACAUUUUCCAUGUAGCUUCAUUGCUUAUUACUGCCUUUUUGAGCUUCCCUCCACAAAACACAACUGUUCUGAAUAAUCUCCUGGCUUUCUUUCUCUUUUAAAGUUUUAUUCUAAAGCCAUACGUGCAUUUCAGGAGUAAAAGUCAUCGACAGAAUCUUUGGUUCCAAGAAGUUUAGAGUAAACGGCCAUAGGAGAGAAAGAACUCUGGCAGGUCUUAGAGCUCUUGGCAAUCAUGAGGAAAUGGAAAAUUUCUAAGGCCACAAAUCAUAAAGAUGAGAGGUUUUAUGGAUGGUAGAGACUGGAGUUAUUCGACAAGGGUAGCAUACAACUCCAAACAAACAUCUCUGGAGCUGAAAAAUACAGUGCAAUACAAGGGGCACUUAUAACCUUUUUAUCCACAGAUUGUGUAAUAGUUUUGUUAUAGAUUGCUUUUCAUUCCUUGACUAGCUACUAAUAAGACAUUUCUUGGCUAAAAAUUAACCCAGUAUUUUUGUGGACCAAACAGAAAUAGAGACAUUUCAUCCGAGCAAGCCUACAAUAGUUAAUCAUUAUUUCCAUCCUGGUUGGGAGGGUAUGGGUUGGAUGACCACAAAGCCUCCUCCCACCACUCCCUUUAUGCCACCUGGAGACAUCAUGGCUUUGACUCUCCUAGGUGAGUGCCACCUGCUGACCCCACUUGGGGUAGGAAUCAGAGAGCUCUUCAGACACUGGAAGGUUUGAGGUUUGAGGACAUGCACUCCGCCCAAUAUCCUACAGCCUCCAGGCAUUUUUUUCUUUUUUUUUAGACAAAGAACCAGCCCCUUCAGAAGCAUUUGCUCCAAGAAAAGCAGGGCCUGGUGCUGAUCUUGAUGAGUGGGAAAGAAGAGAGACUUAACUUAAAUCUCAUAACCGCUUGUAGGAGGGCAGGUCCCUUCAACAACCUACUGGACCAUCAUCUCCUUACUGCCUCAACUACUGUGUGGUGGUUAAUUUUACAUGUCAAAUGGCUAGGCUAAGGGUGUCCCACUGUUUGAUCGAACACUAGUCUAGAUGUUGCUGUAAAAGUAUUUUGUAGGUGUGAUUAGCAUUUACAGCCAGUCGACUUUAAGUAAGGGAGACUGCCCUUGAUAAUUGGAGACUGCCCUUGAUAAUGCCGCAGCCAAUUGGCUGAAAGCCUUAGGAGUCAAAACAGAGAUUUCCCAGGGAAGAAGAAAUUCUACCCCAAGAUGACAGCCUCAACUCUUGCCCGAAUUUCAAGUCUGCAGGUCUGCCUUUCACACUUCAAACUUGCCUGACCCCCCAAUCAUGUGAGCCAAUUUCUUAAAAUAAAUCUCUUAGUCAAGAUAUACAUAUACCCUAUUGGAUCUCGUCCUCUGGAGAACCCUGACUGAUUAAUACUGUCUAAUGAGAAACUGGAUCUCUGAGAAAGGUGAUUUCUAUCAGGGUCUGAGUAAAACCACUUGAAUGACUCUAAUGUAAUGCAUUUUAAAAACAGAGUGAAACAAACCCAAAACUUGAAUCCUGGAGAGCCUUGGAAAAGCACCCA
Molecule: long non-coding RNA, 3729 nt
Filed under: Dasypus novemcinctus (nine-banded armadillo)
Lineage: Eukaryota; Metazoa; Chordata; Mammalia; Cingulata; Dasypodidae
Description: lncRNA (ENSDNOG00000051573.1)
Source: RNAcentral